RNAcentral lists this small nuclear RNA (107 nucleotides) under Physeter macrocephalus (sperm whale). The record is from RNAcentral. Lineage: Eukaryota; Metazoa; Chordata; Mammalia; Artiodactyla; Physeteridae.
GCGCUCGCUUCGGCAGCACAUAUACUAGAAUUGGAACGAUACAGAGAAGAUUAGCGUGGCCCCUGUGCAAGGAUGACACGCAAAUUCCUGAAGCGUUCCAUAUUUUU